This 2213-nucleotide ribosomal RNA is filed under the name Triticum aestivum (bread wheat). Its description in RNAcentral is "partial small subunit ribosomal RNA". Lineage: Eukaryota; Viridiplantae; Streptophyta; Magnoliopsida; Poales; Poaceae. The record is from RNAcentral.
UUAUAUUAUGGGAUAGAGGGAGAGUAACUCAUAGAGAUAGGGUGUAUGUGUGUAGUGAGGUGAUUGCACCGUGUUAAUUUUUUUUCUUUCAAUUUGGGCUCUGGUGUUUAAUUUCGUUAGCCUUCCUCCUCCGCUCGUGUCGUCGUCUCCACCACCCACGUUGGGUUCUAGCCACGUCUCUGUCUUCCUCUCCCUCUCGUUCUCCAUCUCGUUACCUCUCUGCUGCCAACCCGACCCAAGGUGCGUCUCCUCGCGACUCAACCCGCUCAAAUCCCAGCCAACUAGCGCCCAAUCCGGGGAGAAUUGGGUUGAUCCUUGUGCUGUGUUUGUUCCCAUCCUCGGAUCCUGGACCAAGAUCCGACCGAGAGCCCAGAUCUGCUGGUUGUUCGUCGCCAGCAUGGGUCUGGCGAAGGAUGGCGCCGAGAUGGAGGAGGGGACAUUGGAGAUUGGCAUAGAGUAUAGGACUGUCUCCGGUGUGGCAGGGCCGUUGGUUAUUUUGGACAAAGUAAAGGGCCCAAAGUAUCAGGAGAUUGUGAACAUCCGAUUGGGAGAUGGCACCACUCGUCGUGGUCAAGUCCUCGAAGUCGAUGGUGAAAAAGCUGUUGUGCAGGUAUUUGAAGGUACUUCAGGGAUAGACAACAAGUAUACUACUGUGCAGUUCACAGGCGAGGUUUUGAAAACUCCCGUCUCACUUGAUAUGCUUGGACGCAUUUUUAAUGGCUCUGGAAAACCUAUUGAUAAUGGCCCCCCUAUAUUGCCCGAGGCUUACUUGGAUAUUUCUGGAAGUUCUAUCAACCCAAGUGAGAGAACCUAUCCAGAAGAGAUGAUUCAAACAGGAAUAUCCACCAUUGAUGUCAUGAACUCGAUCGCUCGAGGGCAAAAAAUUCCUCUUUUCUCUGCUGCUGGACUUCCUCAUAAUGAAAUUGCUGCUCAAAUUUGUCGUCAAGCUGGUCUCGUUAAAAGGUUGGAGCAAAGCAAGCAUGCAGCAGAGGGAGGUGAAGAAGACAAUUUUGCAAUUGUGUUUGCUGCUAUGGGAGUAAACAUGGAAACGGCACAAUUUUUCAAGCGUGACUUCGAAGAAAAUGGUUCAAUGGAGCGGGUCACUCUUUUCCUGAAUUUGGCAAAUGACCCCACUAUUGAGCGUAUUAUCACUCCUCGAAUUGCCUUAACAACUGCUGAAUAUUUGGCAUAUGAAUGUGGGAAGCAUGUUCUUGUGAUUCUAACAGAUAUGAGCUCAUAUGCCGAUGCACUUCGUGAGGUCUCAGCAGCACGAGAAGAGGUACCUGGUAGGCGUGGUUAUCCUGGGUAUAUGUAUACUGAUCUGGCCACCAUAUAUGAGCGAGCUGGGCGUAUCGAGGGAAGAAAAGGAUCAAUUACCCAAAUUCCUAUUCUUACAAUGCCUAAUGAUGAUAUCACCCAUCCAACUCCUGAUCUUACGGGAUACAUUACCGAAGGGCAGAUAUAUAUUGACAGACAGCUUCAUAAUAGACAGAUAUACCCACCCAUCAACGUCCUGCCAUCUCUUUCUCGUCUGAUGAAGAGUGCUAUUGGUGAAGGUAUGACACGCCGGGAUCAUUCAGAUGUGUCCAAUCAGCUGUAUGCCAACUACGCCAUUGGGAAGGAUGUUCAAGCCAUGAAAGCAGUUGUCGGAGAGGAGGCUCUUUCAUCUGAGGACCUGCUCUAUUUAGAAUUCCUCGAUAAGUUUGAGAGGAAAUUUGUAGCGCAAGGAGCAUACGAUACUCGGAACAUUUUUCAGUCACUUGAUCUGGCAUGGACAUUGCUACGCAUAUUCCCCCGUGAACUUCUCCACCGUAUUCCUGCGAAGACCUUGGAUCAGUUCUACAGCAGAGAUGCCACCCAUUGAUCCAUUUUGUUCAUAAAAGUCCAUUUUUUUCAUGAUGAACAGCUUGAAUAAGAGAAGAAUCCAAACUUGUAUCAUUUUGCUACGUUAUAUAGUCAGAUCCUAUUCUUUCCAGUCUGUAUGCACAAGUUGUACCCCACAUGUCUUGUGCACUGGCAGCUUUGUAAUCCCAUGUAGCUUCCAUUCACAAGCUAGACCUCUUUCUGGUUUCAUUUCCCUGUAUUGUGCAGCAAAACUGAAAAGCCGUUUAGGCGCGUACAUGCCCGAAGAUGUUAGUUAUAUAUUUUUGGACUUGUGGAAAAUGUAAACAAUAUUGAUUUGUUCUUUGUUAAGGCUUUUAAGUAAAUUGAUU